Molecule: ribosomal RNA, 274 nt
Filed under: uncultured bacterium
Lineage: Bacteria
Description: partial 16S ribosomal RNA
Rfam family: Bacterial small subunit ribosomal RNA
Source: RNAcentral
AUACGAAGGUCCCAAGCGUUAUUCGGAAUCACUGGGCGUAAAGAGUACGUAGGCGGUUUGGUAAGUCAGGUGUAAAAUCCCGAAGCUCAACUUCGGAACUGCAUCCGAUACUGCCAGACUAGAGUAAUGGAGAGGCAGGUGGAAUUCUCGGUGUAGCAGUGAAAUGCGUGGAUAUCGAGAGGAAGACCAAUGGCGAAGGCAGCCUGCUGGACAUUUACUGACGCUGAGGUACGAAGGCUAGGGGAGCGAAAGGGAUUAGAAACCCCAGUAGUCC